Molecule: ribosomal RNA, 439 nt
Filed under: uncultured bacterium
Lineage: Bacteria
Description: partial 16S ribosomal RNA
Rfam family: Bacterial small subunit ribosomal RNA
Source: RNAcentral
CUACGGGGUGCUGCAGUGAGGAAUAUUGCACAAUGGGGGGAACCCUGAUGCAGCAACGCCGCGUGGAGGAUGACGCAUUUCGGUGUGUAAACUCCUUUUAUAUGUCAAGAAAAUGACGGUAGCAUAUGAAUAAGUACCGGCUAACUCCGUGCCAGCAGCCGCGGUAAUACGGAGGGUGCAAGCGUUACUCGGAAUCACUGGGCGUAAAUGGCGCGUAGGCGGGUUGGAAAGUCAGGUGUGAAAUCCUACAGCUUAACUGUAGAACUGCACUUGAAACUUCUAAUCUAGAGUAUGGGAGGGGGAGAUGGAAUUAGUGGUGUAGGGGCAAAAUCCGUAGAUAUCACUAGGAAUACCUAAAGCGAAGGCGAUCUCCUGGAACAUUACUGACGCUAAGGCGUGAAAGCGUGGGGAGCAAACAGGAUUAGAUACCCUCGUAGUC